Molecule: long non-coding RNA, 281 nt
Organism: Penaeus monodon (black tiger shrimp)
Lineage: Eukaryota; Metazoa; Arthropoda; Malacostraca; Decapoda; Penaeidae
Exons: 2
Source: RefSeq, a predicted model, not a curated record
AAAGUAUUAAACUUGGUUCCACUGUUUAUUAUUUAUAAUCUUUAUUCCAGGCUGCCCACAAGACUUUCCGCAUUAAGACCAAAUUGGCAAAGAAAAUGAAACAGAACAGGCCUAUUCCCCCAUGGAUUAGGAACCGUACUGGAAACAAGAUCAGAUAUAAUGCCAAGCGCCGCCACUGGAGGAGGACUAAGCUCAAGCUGUAAGCUGCUGCUUGAUUGUCCUUUCAUAAUUUCUAGUGGAGAAAAGUGUUAAGGCUAAAGCUAAUAAAACACUGGCUACAA